This 253-nucleotide ribosomal RNA is filed under the name uncultured bacterium. Its description in RNAcentral is "partial 16S ribosomal RNA". It matches the Rfam family "Bacterial small subunit ribosomal RNA", at positions 524 to 776 of the family's 1533-position model. The record is from RNAcentral.
UACGUAGGCAGCAAGCGUUGUUCGGAGUUACUGGGCGUAAAGGGUGCGUAGGCGGCUUUUUAAGUUUGGUGUGAAAUCUCCCGGCUCAACUGGGAGGGUGCGCCGAAUACUGAGAAGCUAGAGUGUGGGAGAGGAAAGUGGAAUUCCUAGUGUAGCGGUGAAAUGCGUAGAUAUCAGGAGGAACACCGGUGGUGUAAACGGCUUUCUGGACCAUAACUGACGCUGAGGCACGAAAGCGUGGGUAGCAAACAGG